AUUGCUUCUCGGCCUUUUGGCUAAGAUCAAGUGCAGAAUCAUUCUUUUGGCUCAGGAACAUUGCAGAAUUUCUGUGUUUUUGAAUUUCCAUAUGAUUUUCAGGGUUGCUUUUUCUAGAAUGGUGAAAAAUUAGUAGAAAUUACAUUCAAACUUCAGAUCACUUUUGGUGAUACGGUGUUUUGCAA
Heterocephalus glaber (naked mole-rat) is the source of this 185-nucleotide non-coding RNA. The record is from Rfam. Lineage: Eukaryota; Metazoa; Chordata; Mammalia; Rodentia; Bathyergidae.